This 337-nucleotide unclassified non-coding RNA is filed under the name soil metagenome. RNAcentral describes it as "partial contains 5.8S ribosomal RNA, internal transcribed spacer 2, and large subunit ribosomal RNA". The stretch from base 1 to 120 matches the Rfam family "5.8S ribosomal RNA", at positions 35 to 154 of the family's 154-position model. The record is from RNAcentral.
GAUGAAGAACGUAGCGAAAUGCGAUAAGUAGUGUGAAUUGAAGAAUUCAGUGAAUCAUCGAAUCUUUGAACGCACAUUGCGCCCCAUGGUAUUCCGUGGGGCAUGCCUGUUCGAGCGUCAUUUACCCCCUCAAGCUCCGCUUGGUGUUGGGCGUCUGUCCCGCUUCGCGCGCGGACUCGCCCCAAAGGUAUUGGCAGCGGUCGUGCCAGCUUCUCGCGCAGCACAUUGCGCUUCUCGAGGCACCGGUGGGCCCGCGUCCAUCAAGCUCACCCCCCCAGUUUGACCUCGGAUCAGGUAGGGAUACCCGCUGAACUUAAGCAUAUCAAUAAGCGGAGGA